AAUGAAAAAUUUACUGAUGCUGGUGAAGUCUUCUCCUUUCACAGACAUUAGGAGUACAAUUAUCUAUUGUAAAUUUCAGUCUGAGGCUGAUUUGCUUAGAUCAUAUGAAGCUCGUGUGGGAAAAUGAGAACCAAAUCUGCUCGCUCAUUUGUGACAUUCAGCAGCAAGGAAUGACUCAGAAGAGAAGUACUUACUCUAUGUUCUUCAUCGAAGCCCUUUUAGUUGCUCCAGUCAAGCUCCGACCCCCCUCUAACGGUGUUAUGGUGUGGUCCAUGAAGCCUUAUGCACUUUUUUUUCCUUUGCAGAUGUGGUCACUGCCAAAGCCUUGCUAUCACAAGUAUAUCUAUGAAAAGGUUGCAUCAGCAUAUAAACCUGGAAGAAGCUAUCUCCAUUUUUUUGUACAGGAUGCAGCAUUUAUAAUUUGAUGUCAUAUGCUAUAGUCAAUGAGAACUGCUUUGCAUGAGAAGGUACUUCAUUUAUUUGUAUUUCAGUUUUUUUUUCUCUCUUGAAGACUUCAACUGUAAGAGUUUCUUUUUCUUUGAAACAUUUGAUAAGAUUCCCUUGGUGUGAAAUUGAGUUUACAUCAAGUUAUGUUGUAUUUGUGUGAUUCUUUUAAUGGAUUUCUUA
Long non-coding RNA from Papaver somniferum (opium poppy), 627 nucleotides. RefSeq lists it as uncharacterized. The record is from RefSeq and is a predicted model, not a curated record. The transcript has 3 exons. Lineage: Eukaryota; Viridiplantae; Streptophyta; Magnoliopsida; Ranunculales; Papaveraceae.